RNAcentral lists this ribosomal RNA (394 nucleotides) under uncultured bacterium. RNAcentral describes it as "bacterial SSU rRNA". It matches the Rfam family "Bacterial small subunit ribosomal RNA", at positions 29 to 410 of the family's 1533-position model. The record is from RNAcentral.
AGCGAACGUUAGCGGCGCGCCUAACACAUGCAAGUCGCACGAGAAACGGAGCAAUCCGCGGUACAGUGGCGCACGGGUGAGUAACACGUGGAUGACCUUCCCUGGAGUGGUGGAUAACCUGCCGAAAGGCGGGCUAAUACAGCAUGGGACCACGACGCUUUGGCGAUGUGGUGAAAGCGGGCCUCUAUAUAUAAGCUCGCGCUCCGGGACGGGUCCGCGUCCCAUCAGCUAGUUGGUGAGGUAACGGCUCACCAAGGCAACGACGGGUAGCUGGUCUGAGAGGAUGGCCAGCCACACUGGAACUGAGACACGGUCCAGACUCCUACGGGAGGCAGCAGUGGGGAAUCUUGCGCAAUGGGCGAAAGCCUGACGCAGCGACGCCGCGUGGGCGAAG